Small nuclear RNA from Ostrinia nubilalis (European corn borer), 163 nucleotides. RefSeq annotates it as U1 spliceosomal RNA. The transcript has a single exon. NCBI's taxonomy places the organism in Eukaryota, Metazoa, Arthropoda, Insecta, Lepidoptera, Crambidae. The record is from RefSeq and is a predicted model, not a curated record.
AUACUAACCUUGCGUAGGGUGUACCGUGAUCACGAAGGCGGUUGCCCCGGGCAGGCGCCAGCCAUUGCACCUCGGCUGGAUCGCGCCGGUCUGUGACUAUCCCUUCUGGGGUACGUCGUGCGUGUAAUUUUUGGUAGUUGGACUUGCGUACUGCGCGGUCCAU